GAUGAAGAACGUAGCGAAAUGCGAUAAGUAAUGUGAAUUGCAGAAUUCAGUGAAUCAUCGAAUCUUUGAACGCACAUUGCGCCCUUUGGUAUUCCAAAGGGCAUGCCUGUUCGAGCGUCAUUUGUACCCUCAAGCUUUGCUUGGUGUUGAGCGUCUUGUCUCUAGCUUUGCUGGAGACUCGCCUUAAAGUAAUUGGCAGCCGGCCUACUGGUUUCGGAGCGCAGCACAAGUCGCACUCUCUAUCAGCAAAGGUCUAGCAUCCAUUAAGCCUUUUUUUUCAACUUUUGACCUCGGAUCAGGUAGGGAUACCCGCUGAACUUAAGCAUAUCAAUAAGCGGAGGA
Molecule: unclassified non-coding RNA, 342 nt
Filed under: soil metagenome
Description: partial contains 5.8S ribosomal RNA, internal transcribed spacer 2, and large subunit ribosomal RNA
Rfam family: 5.8S ribosomal RNA (bases 1-120)
Source: RNAcentral